GACGAACGCUUGCGGCGUGCCUAAGAAAUGCAAGUCGAGCGGAGAAGUAGCAAUACUUCUUAGCGGCGAACGGUCGCGUAACACGUAAGCAACCUGCCGAAAAGACCGGGACAACAGCCCGAAAGGGCUGCUAAUACCGGAUGUGGCCACUUUCUCGCAUGGGAGAGUGAUUAAACCGAGCAAUCGGCUUUUCGAGGGGCUUGCGGCCUAUCAGCUAGUUGGUGGGGUAACGGCCUACCAAGGCGACGACGGGUAGCUGGUCUGAGAGGACGGCCAGCCGGACUGGGACUGAGAUACGGCCCAGACUCCUACGGGGGCAGCAAUUAGGAAUCUUGCGCAAUGGGCGAAAGCCUGACGCAGCGACGCCGCGUGGAGGAGGAA
Molecule: ribosomal RNA, 381 nt
Filed under: uncultured bacterium
Lineage: Bacteria
Description: bacterial SSU rRNA
Rfam family: Bacterial small subunit ribosomal RNA
Source: RNAcentral